This 422-nucleotide ribosomal RNA is filed under the name uncultured Desulfobulbus sp. RNAcentral describes it as "bacterial SSU rRNA". It matches the Rfam family "Bacterial small subunit ribosomal RNA", at positions 969 to 1382 of the family's 1533-position model. Lineage: Bacteria; Pseudomonadati; Thermodesulfobacteriota; Desulfobulbia; Desulfobulbales; Desulfobulbaceae. The record is from RNAcentral.
CCUUACCUGGUCUUGACAUCCCGGAGACCCUUAGGAAACUAGGGGUGCUUCCAUCUGGAAGAAUCUGGAGACAGGUGCUGCAUGGCUGUCGUCAGCUCGUGUCGUGAGAUGUUGGGUUAAGUCCCGCAACGAGCGCAACCCUUGCCUUUAGUUGCCAGCAGUUCGGCUGGGCACUCUAAAGGGACUGCCGGUGUUAAACCGGAGGAAGGUGGGGAUGACGUCAAGUCCUCAUGGCCUUUAUGACCAGGGCUACACACGUACUACAAUGGCCGAUACAAAGGGCAGCGACACUGCGAGGUGAAGCCAAUCCCGUAAAAUCGGUCUCAGUCCGGAUUGGAGUCUGCAACUCGACUCCAUGAAGUUGGAAUCGCUAGUAAUCGUGGAUCCAGCAUAGACCACGGUGAAUACGUUCCCGGGCCGUU